UACGUAGGGUGCAAGCGUUGUCCGGAAUCAUUGGGCGUAAAGAGCUCGUAGGCGGUCUGUCGCGUCGGCUGUGAAAUCCCGGAGCUCAACUCCGGGUCUGCAGUCGAUACGGGCAAACUGGAGUACUGCAGGGGAGACUGGAAUUCCUGGUGUAGCGGUGAAAUGCGCAGAUAUCAGGAGGAACACCGGUGGCGAAGGCGGGUCUCUGGGCAGUAACUGACGCUGAGGAGCGAAAGCGUGGGGAGCGAACAGG
RNAcentral lists this ribosomal RNA (253 nucleotides) under uncultured bacterium. RNAcentral describes it as "partial 16S ribosomal RNA". It matches the Rfam family "Bacterial small subunit ribosomal RNA", at positions 524 to 776 of the family's 1533-position model. The record is from RNAcentral.